This 253-nucleotide ribosomal RNA is filed under the name uncultured bacterium. Its description in RNAcentral is "partial 16S ribosomal RNA". It matches the Rfam family "Bacterial small subunit ribosomal RNA", at positions 524 to 776 of the family's 1533-position model. The record is from RNAcentral.
UACGAAGGGGGCUAGCGUUGCUCGGAAUCACUGGGCGUAAAGCGCACGUAGGCGGAUCUUUAAGUCAGGGGUGAAAUCCUGGAGCUCAACUCCAGAACUGCCUUUGAUACUGGGGAUCUCGAGUCCGGAAGAGGUGAGUGGAACUCCGAGUGUAGAGGUGAAAUUCGUAGAUAUUCGGAAGAACACCAGUGGCGAAGGCGGCUCACUGGUCCGAUACUGACGCUGAGGUGCGAAAGCGUGGGGAGCAAACAGG